UGGGGAAUAUUGCACAAUGGGCGCAAGCCUGAUGCAGCCAUGCCGCGUGUGUGAAGAAGGCCUUCGGGUUGUAAAGCACUUUCAGCGAGGAGGAAGGUGGUGAACUUAAUACGUUCAUCAAUUGACGUUACUCGCAGAAGAAGCACCGGCUAACUCCGUGCCAGCAGCCGCGGUAAUACGGAGGGUGCAAGCGUUAAUCGGAAUUACUGGGCGUAAAGCGCACGCAGGCGGUUUGUUAAGUCAGAUGUGAAAUCCCCGGGCUCAACCUGGGAACUGCAUUUGAAACUGGCAAGCUAGAGUCUCGUAGAGGGGGGUAGAAUUCCAGGUGUAGCGGUGAAAUGCGUAGAGAUCUGGAGGAAUACCGGUGGCGAAGGCGGCCCCCUGGACGAAGACUGACGCUCAGGUGCGAAAGCGUGGGGAGCGAACAGGAUUAGAUACCCUGGUAGUCCACGCUGUAAAACGAUGUCGAUUUGGAGGUUGUGCCCUUGAGGCGUGGCUUCCGGAGCUAACGCGUUAAAUCGACCGCCU
RNAcentral lists this ribosomal RNA (528 nucleotides) under uncultured bacterium. RNAcentral's name for it is "partial 16S ribosomal RNA". It matches the Rfam family "Bacterial small subunit ribosomal RNA", at positions 355 to 874 of the family's 1533-position model. The record is from RNAcentral.